GCAAACUUGGUCAUUUAGAGGAAGUAAAAGUCGUAACAAGGUUUCCGUAGGUGAACCUGCGGAAGGAUCAUUAAUGAAAACUUUCAGGAGUUGCUGCUGGCCUUUCGGAGGUAUUUGUGCACGCUCCGUUAUUUUCAUCCACACACACACCUGUGCACAUUCUGUUCGGGAGGAAGCAAUUCUUCCCGAAUGUACAAUUUACACACUUUUGAAAAAUGUAUAGAACGUUUGUUAUUACAAAAUUUGUAACAACUUUCAACAACGGAUCUCUUGGCUCUCGCAUCGAUGAAGAACGCAGC
RNAcentral lists this unclassified non-coding RNA (299 nucleotides) under uncultured fungus. RNAcentral describes it as "partial contains small subunit ribosomal RNA, internal transcribed spacer 1, and 5.8S ribosomal RNA". The stretch from base 1 to 73 matches the Rfam family "Eukaryotic small subunit ribosomal RNA", at positions 1759 to 1831 of the family's 1831-position model. The record is from RNAcentral. Lineage: Eukaryota; Fungi.